CACCUUCGGGUGAGUGGCAGACGGGUGAGUAACGCGUGGGAACCUACCUAGUAGUACGGAAUAACUCAGGGAAACUUGUGCUAAUACCGUAUACGCCCUUCGGGGGAAAGAUUUAUCGCUAUUAGAUGGGCCCGCGUUGGAUUAGCUUGUUGGUGAGGUAAUGGCUCACCAAGGCUACGAUCCAUAGCUGGUCUGAGAGGAUGAUCAGCCACACUGGGACUGAGACACGGCCCAG
RNAcentral lists this ribosomal RNA (235 nucleotides) under uncultured bacterium. RNAcentral's name for it is "partial 16S ribosomal RNA". It matches the Rfam family "Bacterial small subunit ribosomal RNA", at positions 82 to 334 of the family's 1533-position model. The record is from RNAcentral.